This 253-nucleotide ribosomal RNA is filed under the name uncultured bacterium. RNAcentral's name for it is "partial 16S ribosomal RNA". It matches the Rfam family "Bacterial small subunit ribosomal RNA", at positions 524 to 776 of the family's 1533-position model. The record is from RNAcentral.
UACGUAGGGUGCAAGCGUUGUCCGGAAUUAUUGGGCGUAAAGAGCUCGUAGGCGGUUUGUCGCGUCGGCUGUGAAAACCUAGGGCUCAACCCUGGGCUUGCAGCCGAUACGGGCAAACUAGAAUUCGGUAGGGGAGACUGGAAUUCCUGGUGUAGCGGUGAAAUGCGCAGAUAUCAGGAGGAACACCGGUGGCGAAGGCGGGUCUCUGGGCCGAUAUUGACGCUGAGGAGCGAAAGCGUGGGGAGCGAACAGG